Carassius gibelio (silver crucian carp) is the source of this 1536-nucleotide long non-coding RNA. RefSeq lists it as uncharacterized. NCBI's taxonomy places the organism in Eukaryota, Metazoa, Chordata, Actinopteri, Cypriniformes, Cyprinidae. The record is from RefSeq and is a predicted model, not a curated record. The transcript is spliced from 2 exons.
CAGAGUGGGAAGUGGAGAAAAACAGACGGAUGGGCUGACGCUGCAGUGAAUCAUCAAUCUGGUUUGCUCACUUCCUCCCUCACAGGCUCCAAAGAUCCAAGGAGAAAUCUGUCUCAGAUUAGAGCACUUCCGCUAGCAGCCGAGGCCGAGCGACAAGAAAAGAGAAAGGAUGAGAUGGAGUGGAUAAACUGGGAGAAAGAUGGACGUGUUUCAAUGAUGAGUUUAACGUAAUGGAAUCAAGGGACAGUUUAGGCAUUCAAACUCCUGUCACUUUCUUCUGUCGAACACAAAAGAGCUACAGAAGAAGACACAUCAGUCCCGUCAGUGAAGGGUCCAGUGUCUCCAGAAAGCGGUCAUAUAUUCCACCAGCGGCUCUCCCAGAAGAGAUACGGGCUUCAUCAAUCAGCUUGAGCGGUACGGAUGACACAAUGCUUCCAGUGUUUCACCAAGAGCUGACAUGAGGAAACCCCAAACAGCAGACCCUCAACACCCAAACUACAGAAAAAACCUCACGCGUCGGAUCGAGAAGGACUGGAAGGCUUCAAAACCAAACUUGAUUAAAGGAGACUUGAGCUGGGAAAGAAUUCCGGUUGAGUGUAACAGGAGAGUUUAAGUGCACAAAGAAGAAGGGAAGUUCUUUACACUGUGCUGAUUGCAGUGUGUGUGUGUGUGUGUGCGUGUGUGUGUGCGUGUGAAGUGCAAUUACAGGCUUUUCAGAGCACUGCCCGCCCAGCUGCUCGACAAACACAGAGAACGAGAGAGAGAGAGAGGGAGAGAGAGAGAGGGAGAGGGAGAGAGAGAGAGAGAGAGAGAGACUUCCCAAGCCAACUUCUCUGUUCUCUCAUAUUUGGUUUCCAAACAAAUUAAGGAAAAGUAAAGUGUGUCCAAAUGACAAAUUAAUAGUAAAAAGGAGUAAAAACUGUGCGUGUGUGUAUGUGUGUGUGUUUGGUGGUGGGUUAGUGACAAAUUCCCACUCAGCUCAGAAAGGAAAAUCCUUUCAAACUUCCCUAAUCCUAUAACCAAGAAUGUGUCAAAACUCAAUCCAAGCUAAAACUUUCAGCACUGUCAGCUUUCUAGACUGGCGGUAUAAUGAGGAGGAGAGAAAAGUUGCAAAACUUACGGAAGAAGUGUUUGAAGAGGUUAGCCAUAUCCAUUUUGGGCUAUCCCAGCACUUCCCUCGGCAGCUGUGCAACUAUUCCAUGUGAAACACCCUCCCACGAGUCAACCGCUCUCCGCCUGGACAACAAUCGGCUGCCUGACCAUGUGACCAGAGUGAACCAAUCGCAAUCACUCCCUCCUCCAGCAUUACUAGUCUUCCCCCCAUACAUACAUAGUGAACUCAUGGUGACUAGCAGGCAACGCUGACUGCCUAUAAUGACUGAUCUUCAUCGACAGCAGCAAGUUAACCCAGUUUGUUCAUACUAAAACAAGAACAUGUCACUUGUUCGGACAUGUUAUCAAUGGGUUAUUGUUUUUUUAUGUACCAUGAAAAUACUAUGAUGUUAUAGCAUAGUAUUUUAUAGCAUCUGAUACAAA